RNAcentral lists this transfer RNA (73 nucleotides) under Dermatophagoides pteronyssinus (European house dust mite). RNAcentral's name for it is "tRNA-Ala". It matches the Rfam family "tRNA". Rfam says of the family: Transfer RNA (tRNA) molecules are approximately 80 nucleotides in length. Their secondary structure includes four short double-helical elements and three loops (D, anti-codon, and T loops). Lineage: Eukaryota; Metazoa; Arthropoda; Arachnida; Sarcoptiformes; Pyroglyphidae. The record is from Rfam by way of RNAcentral.
GGGCGUCUAGCUCAAAUGGUAGAGCGCUUGCUUAGCAUGCAAGAGGUACUGAGAUCGAUACUCAGGUCGUCCA